CACGUAGGGCGCAAGCGUUGUCCGGAAUUAUUGGGCGUAAAGAGCUCGUAGGCGGUCUGUUGCGUCCGCUGUGAAAACUCGGGGCUUAACCCCGAGCCUGCAGUGGAUACGGGCAGACUGGAGGUAGGUAGGGGAGAAUGGAAUUCCCGGUGUAGCGGUGAAAUGCGCAGAUAUCGGGAGGAACACCGGUGGCGAAGGCGGUUGCCUGGAGCUUUGCUGACGCUGAGGCGCGAAAGCGUGGGGAGCGAUCCGG
Molecule: ribosomal RNA, 253 nt
Filed under: uncultured bacterium
Lineage: Bacteria
Description: partial 16S ribosomal RNA
Rfam family: Bacterial small subunit ribosomal RNA
Source: RNAcentral